UCUCAAACCCUAACCUACGACUACUUUUCUUGCUCUCCCUCUCUCGCUAUUGUUGACAAGAAUAAGGAGCACCAAAGACUUCAAUUUUUCGGUUCUAGGCUAUAUCGGACUCUCGUCAUCGCUAGUUACGAAAUUUAAACUGUAGGAAAUAUGCGAGACGUGAUUGACCAACCCCGGCCAUUAGCUAUUUUUAAGAGUCCAACCGAGCAACCAAAGGUCGUUAGAGGUUUAGCUGGAGCUUGCAGGGGAGCAGGAGUCGUUGUGGGACAUGAACCACUGCGUGUUCAUGAAAAACUUUAGUAAAUUAAAAACUUAAAUUUUGGUUUUGAACUUAAAUGCUUCCGCUGACUAUUCAACUUGGUUUUGGACUUUGGUUUUGAGAACUUUAGACGUUUGGUUUUACUUUACUUUAUUUAAUGUUUAUUAUAAUUGGUGGUAUGAUCCUGGUCAGUCACACGCCUCGCGGUAAUACUCCGCUUGUGGAUUUUGAGGGUGUGACACACUAUGUGUUUCGUCGUAGUUAAGGCCCAAGGUACUAUAUAAACAGCUUUCUGGUCUCACUUUGAAACCAGAUGAGAGAAUACCCGGAGAGACUUAUUCUGUAAAACUGUGUGUGUAUAAGUUGUUCUCGGUUCUCAUCC
Molecule: long non-coding RNA, 641 nt
Filed under: Helianthus annuus (common sunflower)
Lineage: Eukaryota; Viridiplantae; Streptophyta; Magnoliopsida; Asterales; Asteraceae
Source: RNAcentral